RNAcentral lists this ribosomal RNA (468 nucleotides) under uncultured bacterium. RNAcentral describes it as "partial 16S ribosomal RNA". It matches the Rfam family "Bacterial small subunit ribosomal RNA", at positions 28 to 507 of the family's 1533-position model. The record is from RNAcentral.
GACGAACGCUGGCGGCGUGCUUAACACAUGCAAGUCGAACGGAAAGGCCCUGCUUUUGUGGGGUGCUCGAGUGGCGAACGGGUGAGUAACACGUGAGUAACAUCCCCUUGACUUUGGGAUAACUUCAGGAGACUGCGGAGAAUACCGGGGAGGAUCUCCUGCUGCGUGGGGGGGGAUGGAGAGUUUCGGCGGUGGGGGAUGGUCUCGCUGGUUAUGCGCUGGUUGGUGGGGUAGUUGCGUACCAAGGCUUUGAGGGGUAGCCGGCCUGAGAGGGUGACCGGCGACAUGGGGACUGAGAUACGGAGCAGACUGCUACGGGAGGCAGCAGGGGGGAAUCUUGCACAAUGGGCGGAAGCCUGAUGCAGCAGCGCCGCGUGCGGGAUGACGGCCUUCGGGUUGUAAACAGCUUUGGACUGUGACGAAGAGUGAGUGACGGUAAUGGGUAAAGAAGCACCGGCUAACUACGUG